This 250-nucleotide ribosomal RNA is filed under the name uncultured bacterium. RNAcentral describes it as "partial 16S ribosomal RNA". It matches the Rfam family "Bacterial small subunit ribosomal RNA", at positions 95 to 339 of the family's 1533-position model. The record is from RNAcentral.
GUGGCGGACGGGUGAGUAACACGUAGAUAAUCUGCCCUUGGAUUGGGGAUAGCAUAUGGAAACAUAUGGUAAUACCGAAUAAGCUCCUAACUACGCAGGUAGAAUGGAGGAAAGGUGCUUAGGCACCGUCCGGGGAUGAGUCUGCGGCUCAUUAGCUAGUUGGUGGGGUAAAGGCCUACCAAGGCAACGAUGAGUAGCCGGCCUGAGAGGGUGGACGGCCACACUGGGACUGAGACACGGCCCAGACUCC